Molecule: small RNA, 1007 nt
Filed under: uncultured Cristinia
Lineage: Eukaryota; Fungi; Basidiomycota; Agaricomycetes; Atheliales; Atheliaceae
Description: eukaryotic LSU rRNA
Rfam family: Eukaryotic large subunit ribosomal RNA (bases 720-1007)
Source: RNAcentral
CUUGGUCAUUUAGAGGAAGUAAAAGUCGUAACAAGGUUUCCGUAGGUGAACCUGCGGAAGGAUCAUUAUCGAAUUGUAAGGACUUUGGUUGUCGCUGGCUCUCUCUGGGAGCAUGUGCACGCCUGGUUCGCACUCUUCAUUCUUUAACCUCCUGUGCACCCUUUGUGGAUCGUGGUUGGAUAACUCUCGGGCUAACACUCGGUUUUGAGGAUUGCGUCUAACACGCGCUCUCCUCUACAUCCACACCACGGUUCAUGUAUUUUUACACACUACUAUUACAAACCUAGAAUGCUUAACGAGUUGGGACUUUAGUGACCCUUCUUAAACUUUAUACAACUUUCAGCAACGGAUCUCUUGGCUCUCGCAUCGAUGAAGAACGCAGCGAAAUGCGAUAAGUAAUGUGAAUUGCAGAUUUCAGUGAAUCAUCGAAUCUUUGAACGCACCUUGCGCCUUGUGGUAUUCCACAAGGCAUGCCCGUUUGAGUGUCAUUAAAUCAUCAACCUCAAAACCUUUGUGUUUCUGAGGCUUGGUCUUGAGGGUUUUGCAGGCCAUCCCCGGUCUGCUCCCUUUAAAUCUAUUAGCGAGACUUCCCUGUGCUGACCGUCUCUUGGCGUGAUAAUUAUCUGCGUCAAACUUGGCGGUUCUCGUUGGGCUUGCUUCUAAUCGUCCUCGGACAAUCGGAUUCGGGCGCAUAUAUGCACCUGUUUUCCAAAACCUUUUGACCUCAAAUCGGGUAGGACUACCCGCUGAACUUAAGCAUAUCAAUAAGCGGAGGAAAAGAAACUAACAAGGAUUCCCCUAGUAACUGCGAGUGAAGAGGGAACAGCUCAAAUUUAAAAUCUGGCGGUCCUUGCGGCUGUCCGAGUUGUAAUUUAGAGAAGCGUCACCCGCGUUGGACCGUGUACAGUCUCCUCGAACGGAGCAUCAUAGAGGGUGAGAAUCCCGUACAUGACACGGACUGCCAGGGCUUUGUGGUGCGCUCUCGACGAGUCGAGUUGUUUGGGAAU